GUCGAGAAUAAUUCACAAUGGACGAAAGUCUGAUGGUGCAACGCCGCGUGGAGGAUGAAGGUCUUCGGAUUGUAAACUCCUGUCAUCGGGGAGUAAGACCUGGCGGUAAAUAGCCGACAGGGUUGAUAGUACCCGAAGAGGAAGGGACGGCUAACUUCGUGCCAGCAGCCGCGGUAAUACGAAGGUCCCAAGCGUUGUUCGGAAUCACUGGGCGUAAAGGGAGCGUAGGCGGCGUGGUAAGUCAGAUGUGAAAUCCCGGGGCUCAACCCCGGAACUGCAUCCGAUACUGCCAUGCUUGAGGGUUGGAGAGGUAGCUGGAAUUCUCGGUGUAGCAGUGAAAUGCGUGGAUAUCGAGAGGAACACUCGUGGCGAAGGCGAGUCACUGGACAACAUCUGACGCUGAGGCUCGAAGGCCAGGGGAGCAAAAGGGAUUAGAUACCCUAGUAGUCC
Molecule: ribosomal RNA, 450 nt
Filed under: uncultured bacterium
Lineage: Bacteria
Description: partial 16S ribosomal RNA
Rfam family: Bacterial small subunit ribosomal RNA
Source: RNAcentral